Ribosomal RNA from Cricetulus griseus (Chinese hamster), 137 nucleotides. Lineage: Eukaryota; Metazoa; Chordata; Mammalia; Rodentia; Cricetidae. The record is from Ensembl.
GGUCCUCAGCAUACCACUCUGAAUGCGCCAGAUCUCAUAUGAUCUUGGAAGCUAAGAAGGAACAGGCCUGAUUAGUGCUUGGAUGGGAGAAACAGAAAUGGAAUGAAUCUGAAUGUGAGGGGAAGUGGGAAGGACCU